This 462-nucleotide ribosomal RNA is filed under the name uncultured bacterium. RNAcentral's name for it is "partial 16S ribosomal RNA". It matches the Rfam family "Bacterial small subunit ribosomal RNA", at positions 28 to 506 of the family's 1533-position model. The record is from RNAcentral.
GAUGAACGCUGACAGAAUGCUUAACACAUGCAAGUCGAUGGGGAAGUGGUGCUUGCACCAUGGCAACCAUGGCGGACGGGUGAGUAACGCGUAAGGGACUUACCUGCAGGACUGGGAUAACAGGGGGAAACUCCUGACAAGACCGGAUAAUGUCAUGGAGCUGCAUGGCUUUAUGAUGAAAGGAGACGCCUGCGGAGAGCCUUGCGUCCUAUUAGCUAGUUGGUGAGGUAAUGGCUCACCAAGGCGAAGAUAGGUAGCCGGCCUGAGAGAGUGGACGGCCACAAGGGGACUGAGAUACGGCCCUUACUCCUACGGGAGGCAGCAGUGGGGAAUAUUGGACAAUGGGGGCAACCCUGAUCCAGCAAUUCUGUGUGCACGAAGAAGGUUUUCGGAUUGUAAAGUGCUUUCAGCAGGGAAGAAGUAAGUGACGGUACCUGCAGAAGAAGCGACGGCUAAAUACGU